RNAcentral lists this ribosomal RNA (401 nucleotides) under uncultured bacterium. Its description in RNAcentral is "bacterial SSU rRNA". It matches the Rfam family "Bacterial small subunit ribosomal RNA", at positions 29 to 425 of the family's 1533-position model. The record is from RNAcentral.
AUUGAACGCUGGCGGCAUGCCUUACACAUGCAAGUCGAGCGGCAGCGCGGGGGCAACCCUGGCGGCGAGCGGCGAACGGGUGAGUAAUGCAUCGGAACGUGUCCUUUUGUGGGGGAUAACCAGUCGAAAGACUGGCUAAUACCGCAUGAGCUCGAGAGAGGAAAGCAGGGGACCCGAGGGUAACUUCGGGCCUUGCGCGAGAGGAGCGGCCGAUGCCCGAUUAGCAGUUGGUGAGGUAACGGCUCACCAAGGCGACGAUCGGUAGCUGGUUUGAGAGAACGACCAGCCACACUGGGACUGAGACACGGCCCAGACUCCUACAGGAGGCAGCAGUGGGAAUUUUGGACAAUGGGGGCAACCCUGAUCCAGCCAUGCCGCGUGUGUGAAGAAGGCCUCGGUUG